UACGGAGGGGGCUAGCGUUGUUCGGAAUUACUGGGCGUAAAGGGCGCGUAGGCGGUUUACCAAGUCAGGCGUGAAAGGCCUGGGCUCAACCCGGGAACUGCGCUUGAUACUUGUAGACUUGAGUCCGGGAGAGGAUGGCGGAAUUCCCAGUGUAGAGGUGAAAUUCGUAGAUAUUGGGAAGAACACCGGUGGCGAAGGCGGCCAUCUGGACCGGAACUGACGCUGAGGCGCGAAAGCGUGGGGAGCAAACGGG
This 253-nucleotide ribosomal RNA is filed under the name uncultured bacterium. RNAcentral's name for it is "partial 16S ribosomal RNA". It matches the Rfam family "Bacterial small subunit ribosomal RNA", at positions 524 to 776 of the family's 1533-position model. The record is from RNAcentral.